Molecule: transfer RNA, 77 nt
Filed under: Clostridia bacterium
Lineage: Bacteria; Bacillati; Bacillota; Clostridia
Also listed under: 1 other name
Description: tRNA-Met
Rfam family: tRNA
About the family: Transfer RNA (tRNA) molecules are approximately 80 nucleotides in length. Their secondary structure includes four short double-helical elements and three loops (D, anti-codon, and T loops).
Source: RNAcentral
GCCGGCAUAGCUCAGUUGGCUAGAGCAUGCGGUUCAUACCCGCAGUGUCGUUGGUUCGAAUCCGACUGCCGGUACCA